RNAcentral lists this ribosomal RNA (484 nucleotides) under uncultured bacterium. Its description in RNAcentral is "partial 16S ribosomal RNA". It matches the Rfam family "Bacterial small subunit ribosomal RNA", at positions 29 to 507 of the family's 1533-position model. The record is from RNAcentral.
AUUGAACGCUGGCGGCAUGCUUUACACAUGCAAGUCGAACGGCAGCGCGGGCUUCGGCCUGGCUGCGAGUGGCGAACGGGCGAGUAAUGCAUCGGAACGUGCCCAGCAGCGGGGGAUAGCCCGGCGAAAGCCGGAUUAAUACCGCAUACGACCUGAGGGUGAAAGCGGGGGACCGAAAGGCCUCGCGCCAUUGGAGCGGCCGAUGUCGGAUUAGCUAGUUGGUGGGGUAAAGGCUUACCAAGGCGACGAUCCGUAGCUGGUCUGAGAGGACGACCAGCCACACUGGAACUGAGACACGGCCCAGACUCCUACGGGAGGCAGCAGUGGGGAAUUUUGGACAAUGGGGGCAAGCCUGAUCCAGCCAUGCCGCGUGCGGGAAGAAGGCCUUCGGGUUGUAAAGCGCUUUUGUUCGGGAAGAAAACCUCUGGGCUAAUACCCCGGGGGGAUGACGGUACCGGAAGAAUAAGCACCGGCUAACUACGUG